AAAUUUACAAUAAAGUCCACACAUUGACCCCAAUUUUGAGUACAAUUUCGCCCAUCGCCGUCGUUGACUUUUUUUUUUUAAUAUUUUUUUUUUUGUGUUUAACAUCUUUUUGCCCCGUGUAAACAACAAUAUUGAUGUGGUUGACAGUCAUAUUAACUAUAUUACUGUUAAACACAAUAAUAUUAACUAUAAUACAGAACACAGUAAUAUUGUUAUAUUAAUCUCUAGCACAUAAAUAUUAGUGUAAAAGGCAGUUUGCCCCCUAAACUAAGGGCCGAUUUGCAUUUUACCCCCAAACAAAAAAAAAUUGCACUUUUUUACCUGAACUUGAUAAUUCGUUGCACGGUGCUACGGCUGAACUCAAUUUUCCGGCAAUUUUGACCGGAAAGUUAAAACAUGUGCCUUGCACGUGACAUCUGCAGGGAUAUAUUCGUCAUUUCACUUACAUGCUGUAUAUUAAAUGCCUAAAUAUAAAUUAAUCUUAAAAAAAAAAAAAAGAGAAAAAAAAAAAAUUGUCUUCGUUUUCCCUUCACCCACCAGUGCCACCACCAUCCCAAACCCAUCCCAGCCAAAAAUUCCGUCAGCCAUCGGCCGCCGGCAGCAAAUCAUCUCCACCUCCACACCUUCCCCACCUUGAUUCCACCUCUAAACUAAUUUCAAUCUGUUGCCGUCACCUACCUCGUUUCAUCCUUAGUCCGCCGACCGAGUCUUCGGAUCAUAGAAGUAAAAAAAGAUCUCCCCAAUUUUUCUUUCUAAGAAAUCACCAUCUCCGUCUAUGCUCCUCCGACGUGAAAGAUCCCAGCUAUUUUUGGGUAUUUUUACUUUUUAUGAUUUAAGUAUAAUAUAAAGUAGAAUUUAAAUUGAUAAUUGAGAUAGAAAUUGGGGAAGGAAAUUAGAGAAGAAGAAACUUGGGGAAGAAGAAGAAUACAGAGAUAAGAGAGAUUCUGAAGAUGAUGACGACAAAGUGAACUAGGUUUUUGCUGGGAAUGUGGGAGGGCGAUUACUGUUGGUGGUGAGAUGGGUUUUUGGAAGACGAUGAAGAAGAAAACAAUUUAAAAAACAAAAGACGAUGAUUUGGCUUGGGUUUGGGGGCUGGUGAGUUACAGC
This 1107-nucleotide long non-coding RNA is filed under the name Erythranthe guttata (spotted monkey flower). Its description in RNAcentral is "long non-coding RNA (EGUT_LNC001095)". The record is from RNAcentral. Lineage: Eukaryota; Viridiplantae; Streptophyta; Magnoliopsida; Lamiales; Phrymaceae.